Long non-coding RNA from Daphnia pulex (common water flea), 635 nucleotides. RefSeq lists it as uncharacterized. NCBI's taxonomy places the organism in Eukaryota, Metazoa, Arthropoda, Branchiopoda, Diplostraca, Daphniidae. The record is from RefSeq and is a predicted model, not a curated record. The transcript is spliced from 3 exons.
UUCAUUCAAUUUUCGACUUAUUUUUGCAAUCUGGCAAAUGCAAAACCGGGAAAUCCCCCACAGAAUGCAGACUACAAUUGAACGAACAAGUAAACAACACAUGAAAGUUGAAACGUUGUUUUUUCAAUUUUUGAGAGUGCAAAAUUUAUAUUACUAGAAAUCAUUGAUCAAACUUACCAGGAAAUAGUUUGCGAUGCACUUCACAACCGACAUUCGACUCUUUUGGCAGUUGUCUCUGGAGAGACUUGUCAUUACUACCAUAGCAACACCAACCGAUCUAGCCGCAAAAAGAGGCGAACCCCAGUUUUGGAUGAAAAGCAUUUUAGCGAAACUUGGAGCGCGCAAAGUACGACAGAUAAUCAGUCAAGUAGAAAGUUGCGGUUGAACGAACAGCCACAAAAAAGGUGGCGAUAAGCAGCGGUCGGGCGUUAUACGAUGCAGACGAAUUUAUUGUAAAUAAACGAAAAAACCCUAGCGGUUGGCGGGGAAUUUUAUCCGAUUUUUCUUUUCUUUAUUCUUUUCUCGUGUAAUUUCUUCGUUGUUACUGUUAGUGACUAGCCAUUGGUCAUUACUCAUUACUCAGUGAGUUAUUAGUAGAUAUUAUUCAGUCUUAAUAGAUUCAAUAUUAAUUAUUC